GCCUGGGUGGCUCAGCCGGUAAAGCAUCUGACUUUGGCUCAGGUGGUGAUCUCACUGUUCCUGGGUUUGAGCCCCACAUCAGGCU
This 85-nucleotide transfer RNA is filed under the name Felis catus (domestic cat). It matches the Rfam family "tRNA". Rfam says of the family: Transfer RNA (tRNA) molecules are approximately 80 nucleotides in length. Lineage: Eukaryota; Metazoa; Chordata; Mammalia; Carnivora; Felidae. The record is from Rfam by way of RNAcentral.